CGCUUUAUUAAAAAGCACUCCCUGCUCAAUGAAAAAUUUAAAUAGCCGCUAUGGCGCUAAGGUAGCGUAAUAAUUAGCCUCUUAAUUGGAGGCAAGUAUGAAUGGGUACAUUGGAAGAGUAAUUUCAAUUUUUAAAAAGAAUUUUUAUAGGAGUGAAAAAACUACUAUGGUAUUCUAAGACGAUAAGACCCUAUGAAGCUAUUCAUAUUAAUUUAAUUAAAAACAAAAACAUAUGAAUUAUUUGGGGUAAAGAAUAAUAAAAAUAUUAUAACCAAAGAACAAUGAUGAUCUUAAAUGAAUAUGAAGAAAAAGCUACUCUAGGGAUAACAGCGUAAUAUUUAUUAGAGUCCUUAUCGAAAUAAAUGUUUGCGACCUCGAUGUUGAAUUAUGGUUAUUUUUUAAGGCAGCACUUAAAAAAUGUAGUCUGUUCGACUAAUUAAUCC
This 443-nucleotide ribosomal RNA is filed under the name Anomalocera patersoni. RNAcentral's name for it is "partial 16S ribosomal RNA". It matches the Rfam family "Archaeal large subunit ribosomal RNA", at positions 1930 to 2664 of the family's 2987-position model. The record is from RNAcentral. Lineage: Eukaryota; Metazoa; Arthropoda; Copepoda; Calanoida; Pontellidae.